GAUGAACGCUAGCUACAGGCUUAACACAUGCAAGUCGAACGGUAACGGGUUGAAAGCUUGCUUUCAAUGCUGACGAGUGGCGGACGGGUGAGUAAGGCUUGGGGAUCUGGCUUUUGGAGGGGGAUAACCAUUGGAAACGAUGGCUAAUACCGCAUAGUAUCGAGAGAUGAAAGGGGUGGGAAACCACUUGCCAAGGGAUGAACCCAAGUGAGAUUAGGUAGUUGGUGGGGUAAGGGCCUACCAAGCCGACGAUCUCUAGCUGGUCGGAGAGGAAGGUCCCCCACAUUGGAACUGAGACACGGUCCAAACUCCUACGGGAGGCAGCAGUGAGGAAUAUUGGUCAAUGGGCGAGAGCCUGAACCAGCCAAGUAGCGUGCAGGAUGACGGCCCUAUGGGUUGUAAACUGCUUUUGUAUGGGGAUAAAGUGCUCCACGUGUGGAGUUUUGUAGGUACCAUACGAAUAAGGACCGGCUAAUUCCGUGCCAGCAGCCGCGGUAAUACGGAAGGUUCGGGCGUUAUCCGGAUUUAUUGGGUUUAAAGGGAGCGUAGGCCGUGGAUUAAGUGUGUUGUGAAAUGUAGGCGCUCAACGUCUGACUUGCAGCGCAUACUGGUCCACUUGAGUGCGCGCAACGCGGGCGGAAUUUGUCGUGUAGCGGUGAAAUGCUUAGAUAUGACGAAGAACCCCGAUUGCGAAGGCAGCUCGCGGGAGCGCAACUGACGCUGAAGCUCGAAAGUGCGGGUAUCGAACAGG
RNAcentral lists this ribosomal RNA (751 nucleotides) under uncultured bacterium. RNAcentral's name for it is "bacterial SSU rRNA". It matches the Rfam family "Bacterial small subunit ribosomal RNA", at positions 28 to 776 of the family's 1533-position model. The record is from RNAcentral.